CUUGCUUCUCUUGAGAGCGGCGGACGGGUGAGUAAUGCCUAGGAAUCUGCCUGGUAGUGGGGGAUAACGUUCGGAAACGGACGCUAAUACCGCAUACGUCCUACGGGAGAAAGCAGGGGACCUUCGGGCCUUGCGCUAUCAGAUGAGCCUAGGUCGGAUUAGCUAGUUGGUGGGGUAAUGGCUCACCAAGGCUACGAUCCGUAACUGGUCUGAGAGGAUGAUCAGUCACACUGGAACUGAGACACGGUCCAGACUCCUACGGGAGGCAGCAGUGGGGAAUAUUGGACAAUGGGCGAAAGCCUGAUCCAGCCAUGCCGCGUGUGUGAAGAAGGUCUUCGGAUUGUAAAGCACUUUAAGUUGGGAGGAAGGGUUGUAGAUUAAUACUCUGCAAUUUUGACGUUACCGACAGAAUAAGCACCGGCUAACUCUGUGCCAGCAGCCGCGGUAAUACAGAGGGUGCAAGCGUUAAUCGGAAUUACUGGGCGUAAAGCGCGCGUAGGUGGUUUGUUAAGUUGGAUGUGAAAUCCCCGGGCUCAACCUGGGAACUGCAUUCAAAACUGACUGACUAGAGUAUGGUAGAGGGUGGUGGAAUUUCCUGUGUAGCGGUGAAAUGCGUAGAUAUAGGAAGGAACACCAGUGGCGAAAGCGACCACCUGGACUAAUACUGACACUGAGUGCGAAAGCGUGGGGAGCAAACAGGAUUAGAUACCCUGGUAGUCCACGCCGUAACGAUGUCAACUAGCCGUUGGGAAGCCUUGAGCUUU
Molecule: ribosomal RNA, 764 nt
Filed under: uncultured bacterium
Lineage: Bacteria
Description: bacterial SSU rRNA
Rfam family: Bacterial small subunit ribosomal RNA
Source: RNAcentral